CCACAAACAAAAAUCAGAGCUGUUGCCUGAAGAAGGAGAAGGAUUGUCUAGAGCAGCACUCUAUAAAGGAAAUACAAGUUUCCUGACCUUGGUAAAAGCAGAAACUCCCUGGAUAGUUCAUUCUGCAGUGUGGCUUUGGAAGUCAUUGCAGGAAGCUCAGACUAGAGCCUGCUGUGCAGCCCUGCCAGUGAUUAGAGGUAUCCUUGCAUUUAAUACAAUUUCUUUUGCUUAAUCAUCUAAAGGGAAUUCUGUUAGUUGCAACUGAGAACACUGGCUGGUGCUUAUAUUAAACCAAUGAUCAAAAUCAGAUUUUAUUGACUCCAUGGAAAAAAUUAAUAUUUUAUGUAAUGGCAAAACUUGGAUGGUAUAAAUGGAAAGAAAAAAAUAGGCCUUUGAGCUACCUAUAUCUGUACUCAAACCU
RNAcentral lists this long non-coding RNA (421 nucleotides) under Callithrix jacchus (white-tufted-ear marmoset). RNAcentral's name for it is "lncRNA (ENSCJAG00000081758.1)". The record is from RNAcentral. Lineage: Eukaryota; Metazoa; Chordata; Mammalia; Primates; Cebidae.